GAACAUCUGUCUACACUGAGAGCACGUCAUCAUGUUACAUCCUCCGUUCUUCUACACAACACAAAACACAACAAUUCCUCUGUUCCAUGGUAAGUCUUUUUGCAGACGACACAGAAGGCAUAGCUGCACGCGGAGCACAUUGCUGCUUUGCUGGACUUCUCUUGAAUGACGGCCGAACCACAGGAACGCCGAGGACAGUACACAAUAUCUGAGAGGAAGGGGGAUAAGAAGAAAGGGAGAGUGUUUAUUGAUAAGAAGGGAAACACACCAGACAUGCAGUCCAGUGUAUUCUGUAGCAGGAGACGAUCGUAGCGGCUGAACAGCUCCUCUCCUACCAGACUCCUCACCUACCAAACAUAGACAUAGAGAAGAGACAAAAUGUG
This is a long non-coding RNA of Larimichthys crocea (large yellow croaker), 383 nucleotides long. RefSeq lists it as uncharacterized. The record is from RefSeq and is a predicted model, not a curated record. Lineage: Eukaryota; Metazoa; Chordata; Actinopteri; Sciaenidae. The transcript has 3 exons.